UAAUAAUAAUAAUAAUUAAGAUGAAACUUUCAUCUUAUGGAUGAAAGUCUAGACUCUUACUAUGGAUAAUGAAAUAUUUGUUUUAUCUUAUACUUCCAUCUUUUUAGUUUAUAUAUUUUUGUAUUUCUUGAAAUUUUAAGUACUAUUAGACUCUUACUAUUAAUUUUGUUUUCUCUUUUAUUUUUGACCCUAAGUGUUUGAAAUAAAAUUGUACAAUCCAA
RNAcentral lists this unclassified non-coding RNA (221 nucleotides) under Hevea brasiliensis (rubber tree). Lineage: Eukaryota; Viridiplantae; Streptophyta; Magnoliopsida; Malpighiales; Euphorbiaceae. The record is from RNAcentral.